Molecule: long non-coding RNA, 6690 nt
Filed under: Brassica napus (rape)
Lineage: Eukaryota; Viridiplantae; Streptophyta; Magnoliopsida; Brassicales; Brassicaceae
Description: long non-coding RNA (BNAP_LNC018048)
Source: RNAcentral
UGGUGUUGCUGGUUGCAACCAGACUUGAUCUCCAGCAAAGCAUCUCAUGUCCACCGCAAAACGUUUGCGGUAUAUGAUCCUUAUCCAAUAGGGUCCACGGAGUACUACAGAGACAUCAAUGGGUAAGAGAGAGCUGGGAACGAUUCCAGGUCCGCUUCUCCCUGCAGCUCCAUGGAAACUUCCACCGAGUGGACUUGGAGCAGGAGAAGGAGAAGCAACAGCACUCCCUGAGGCAGACUGGCCAACAGCAUUUGGAGCUGCUAAAGUUGAAGGUUGAGUUUGUUGCGUCUGAUUUGAUUGUCUGGAAGUCGCUGUAGCAGGUACGACAGUCACGCCAGUGGCUGAACUAGCUCGGGCAGGGCGAGUAGCAGCAGCUAACGCAGUCAAAGGCCCAGCAGUAAGGCGAAUGCAAUCCAGAAGAGAUUCUACCUCUCCACCAUUUAUGAAAUCCUCCAAGAACUGUACAAGAAUAACCCACAAUAAGCAAAAUUAUAUAUAUAGAGUAAAAACUCUAUAAAUUAAUAAUGUUGGACUAUGGUAUUUUAUUAAUUUACAAAAAGUUUCCUUUUUAGAUUUUUUCUUUUUAAAAUAUAUUUUUCCAAAAUAUUUUCAUGUAUAUACAUUAAUUAAAAGUUUGGAAUUUGACAUUCAUAUUGUUUUUAUUAUAUUAUUUGGUGUAUAUAAUAUGUUUUAUAGAACUUAAAUGUGGUUUUAGAUAUAAUUUUACUAAAUCUCAUCAAAAUAUAUUAAAUGUUAAUAAAAUAUUAAGAUCAUUCCAUUGUUAAUAUAAAAAAAACAAUAAAUGGUUUGUUUUUACUUAUAUAAAAUGUAUAUAAGUAUAUAAAUAAUCAGUUCAUAAUUUUAAUGGGACCAUAUAUUUACAUAUGUUUUUUUAACUAUUCUUUUAUUAUUUUAUCGAUUUGUAUUAUAUUUUGAACCGGCCCAAUGGGACAGUAGAAAUUUAUUAAUUUAUGGUGUUUAUUAAUUUAUUAAUUUAUGGUAUUUAUUAAUUUGGGAGUACUAAUUUAUAGAAUUCUAUUGUACAUACCUCUUAAGAGUAAAAAGUAAUUCCUAUGAAAUACUCACCUUGGUAUGUGGCCAGUGUUGGUCAGGAGAGACGUGCAUGGUGCAUUCAUCUUUACCUGAUUCCCACUCCACAACAAAACGAGCCAAAAUGCCCGAACCAAAGCUAAACCACAGGCUCGUCAAUCCCACUGCCUCAAUCUUGAAAGCCCUCCAUCUAUCAACCGCCUCCCCACCGCCUUUCCCUCCAGCAGGUCCUUUAACAGCGUGAUUAGCACCAAGGGUCCACGGAGUACUACAGAGACAUCAAUGGGUAAGAGAGAGCUGGGAACGAUUCCAGGUCCGCUUCUCCCUGCAGCUCCAUGGAAACUUCCACCGAGUGGACUUGGAGCAGGAGAAGGAGAAGCAACAGCACUCCCUGAGGCAGACUGGCCAACAGCAUUUGGAGCUGCUAAAGUUGAAGGUUGAGUUUGUUGCGUCUGAUUUGAUUGUCUGGAAGUCGCUGUAGCAGGUACGACAGUCACGCCAGUGGCUGAACUAGCUCGGGCAGGGCGAGUAGCAGCAGCUAACGCAGUCAAAGGCCCAGCAGUAAGGCGAAUGCAAUCCAGAAGAGAUUCUACCUCUCCACCAUUUAUGAAAUCCUCCAAGAACUGUACAAGAAUAACCCACAAUAAGCAAAAUUAUAUAUAUAGAGUAAAAACUCUAUAAAUUAAUAAUGUUGGACUAUGGUAUUUUAUUAAUUUACAAAAAGUUUCCUUUUUAGAUUUUUUCUUUUUAAAAUAUAUUUUUCCAAAAUAUUUUCAUGUAUAUACAUUAAUUAAAAGUUUGGAAUUUGACAUUCAUAUUGUUUUUAUUAUAUUAUUUGGUGUAUAUAAUAUGUUUUAUAGAACUUAAAUGUGGUUUUAGAUAUAAUUUUACUAAAUCUCAUCAAAAUAUAUUAAAUGUUAAUAAAAUAUUAAGAUCAUUCCAUUGUUAAUAUAAAAAAAACAAUAAAUGGUUUGUUUUUACUUAUAUAAAAUGUAUAUAAGUAUAUAAAUAAUCAGUUCAUAAUUUUAAUGGGACCAUAUAUUUACAUAUGUUUUUUUAACUAUUCUUUUAUUAUUUUAUCGAUUUGUAUUAUAUUUUGAACCGGCCCAAUGGGACAGUAGAAAUUUAUUAAUUUAUGGUGUUUAUUAAUUUAUUAAUUUAUGGUAUUUAUUAAUUUGGGAGUACUAAUUUAUAGAAUUCUAUUGUACAUACCUCUUAAGAGUAAAAAGUAAUUCCUAUGAAAUACUCACCUUGGUAUGUGGCCAGUGUUGGUCAGGAGAGACGUGCAUGGUGCAUUCAUCUUUACCUGAUUCCCACUCCACAACAAAACGAGCCAAAAUGCCCGAACCAAAGCUAAACCACAGGCUCGUCAAUCCCACUGCCUCAAUCUUGAAAGCCCUCCAUCUAUCAACCGCCUCCCCACCGCCUUUCCCUCCAGCAGGUCCUUUAACAGCGUGAUUAGCACCACCAGGCUCUUCUGUUUUCUCAUCCGCCUUUAUGCCAAGUAGUUUCCGCAUGCCAAGGGAGAACCUUCUAGCAUUAGAAAGCCUCUGUAUAUCGGCCACAAGCUUCUUGAUACUAUCUGCUUCCACGGACUGAUAGGUCAGAACAACGCCUUCAGGGUCAUAACGGAUAUGUGAAUCAACGUCAGACGAAUUAGCAAUGUGGACUCCGGAUCCCCACGGUGUUGAUUUGCUUCCCUUCUGAAGCUCCCAGAGAUCCCUGAAGUGCUGGUCGUUUAUUUUCACAUCCCAACACAUGCUCCCGGGUCUACCGAGCUGCAAGCAUAUAUGUUGCCAGGAAUCAUUCUGAGCAAACGGAAGACGGAACCAUAUGUCUGAAAACGAAUCUCUCAGUCCCAUCUCCUCAACGUAUUGGAUGUCCAGCGCCUCCAUCUGGCUAGUUAGCUUGGCGUGCUUUAUGGACAGAGAAGAGUGCCUGACCACGUGGAGAAGAGCGUAGACGAAAACGCUUGACGGUGCGUUCCCUUUGUUUGCUUCAGCUAUGAGAUCCCCAUAGCUGCAUCCAAUAGCUUUUGUUGAUGUUACCACUGCAGUAGAUAGGGCCUGUGAUGCAGAGGUUUUACUUCUCUUAUUGGGAUGAGUUACACCUUCCACUACUUGUAGAGAUGGGAUCAAUCUUAGCAAAUCUGAAGCUGAGCGUUUCCGUGACUUCUGGUCUUUUCUCAACAAAGGACCAUCAGAGGUAACUGCAAGAUCAGCUGACUCAGAGACAACAGUUAGGGAUGGAGACAAUACCAUGGACAACUCUUUGUUAGAGUUCUUCUUCAUAGCUGAACCCUUCCCAGGGGGAGGAGAUGACAACAGAUUAAAAGAGCUAGAUUCCAAAGGGCCUUGCGUACUGUAGAAGGAAUCAGAUUGAUAGCUAGUCAACAGCAGAGCUUUUCCAUCAGCGGAUGACGUCACUUUCUGAUGUCCAAACACUUCAUCAACGAUGCUAGAGAAACUCAACUGGCCUCCACUCAUCUCCGCCAAAGACUCCUCAACUAAUCCAGGACCACGGUGUCCAGACGCUUGACUCAAGCUCCUCUCAGCGUCUGAGAACGAAGACACAAAUCUAGCUACAUCGGAUGUAAUCAAGUUGAGAUCAUCUUCAAGAAUCCGUAUCUGCCCAAUAUCAAUCUUCUUAACACGCAGAACGUUGCUCAGAUCGUUGAGAAACUGAGGCUUCCCCGAACCGUCCGUUUGAGUUUCCGCUAGUUUAAACAACGGCGUGAAGUCCUUUUCGAGCUCCAUGAGCAAGAGGUGAGAGCUUUCACAGUCAGGGAAUCCCAGAGCCAGGAUGCUUGGCCCAUCAGAGAGGCUUUUGGGGGCUUUGUUUACACCAAAACCAUGUUCGUAGACCUGCAUUAAACCAAAAACGGUCAGAAACUGAGCUUGAACAAAAAGCUGAAGCACACAGUUACUUACCUCAAGACCCAAGAAUUUGCCAAUGGCGGCAAAAAAAUGCAAAAUGCUUUUGCUUCUCAGGUUGAUAAAGGCAUCAACAGCAGAUAUGCUUCCUUGGUUUAACGCAUCUUCAAAUUCAACCAAGAUGGAGGGGGUCAAGACACUCUUGGAUGACUGAAGAAGAAACUUACCGGUCCUGCAAUCAUUAAUGUAAAAUGAGAAACGCCAGGCUAGAUAAAAUCUCUCUCUAUAUGUAAAUAAAAGAAAAUAUUAUACCUUAUAUUGAUCCCAAGUGUGAAAAAUGAUGAUCCAUAGGCUCGGACUCGUAAUACCUCUGGCUCUAUUUGUUCCUUAGAAUCUACCAUGCUACCUCCCUGAAAGAAAGAAGAAAGAAGAAUAACCAAAUUAAACUCAAUUAAAUAAAUAUUGAGAAUACCAAUAGCAUACUAACUCCACAGCUACAAGAAAGCUAGGGGAAAAUCACUAUUCUUAACAAUUACAAUUGCGUCAAAACAAAUACAGAUUAUUAUAUUCUUUUUACCUCACUGCCAGGCUCAUCCAGGAAGGCCUGAAGGAUAACAUCACUAGGAGCUCGACAAAUCCUGUCACUCCUCAAAAGCUCUUUCUGAAUCUCAAGAAGACGUGUGUAUCUAUUACAGCAAAUAGCUUUAAGCAGAAGCUUCUCCACGUCAAUGCAGCUCUGAUCCAGAGAAAACUCAGCUUCCUUGCCGGUCAGAGGGUCAAUCACAAACGUGCUGUGAGAACACUUAAUCUGAAGAUCUGACACCGGCUCGAUUUUAACGAACGAGCCAGCAUUGUUUUUAUCAGAAUCUAGCCAGUAUAUUAGCUUCACUCCUGGCGUUUUGAGACUGACGGAAUCCGCCUCUCCUUCUUGGUUUGCUGGUGCUGUGCCGGUGUCCGAGAUCAAGUCAAAGCGAAUCGCAUCUUUCCAUCUCCCGUGGAGAAGCGUUCGCACCUGCCUUAUGACUGUGUCCAUGACAAUGGCGACGCAAAGCUCAUGGAGCACCGCAUAUAGUAUAGUGAAUGGAUUCUCUGCAACUGACAUUCUCCGCUCUAGAUCAUCGCCGAGGAUAUGCCGUCUUGUCACCUCGAGUUUAAUCGGACCGCCGCUUCUCUCACCAACAAGGAGAUCCAAAUGCAGUAUCCUCCACAUGGACAGGUGUCCUCGGUAACCGAGAGUCACCAGAACCUUAAACUCCCCUUCGACGGAUAAGGUAACUGUGCCUUUAGAGACUUUCACCUCUGUGAUCUCUUUUGGAAGCGUGAUCUCGAGUAGCUUGGAGCGUACGAGCACCUCCAGCUUCCUUAGCGCUGGCUUCUGCUGCUGCUCGUCCAGAGAGCACUGCAUCCCCACAUCGUCUACGCACUUUGGGAGGCGCUGGUAAGAGCCUGUCAGCAAGACUUCGAUAGCGGAGGGGACGUCGUAGACGGGAGCACGAGCUUGCUGGAGACCUUCGUGCAUGAAGAAGAGUGAAUCCGCAGCUUGUGUGAAGCAUAUAUCGUGAGAUGAUAGUGUGCUCCCGACGUCCUGCAAGCGGUUUAUUAGAGGAACCUGCAGCCAAAGGUGAGUGAAUAAGAGGCUUAGUAAAUUUCUGAUUACUUUCUCCAUAAAGAUAGUAAACACAAACAAGUAACAAUAAUCAUAUGAAAUAUUAAUGGAACGUUGAUCUAAAGUAGCUGCCUAGGAAUUUCACAAAGACUGCAAACCUAGUUAAAAGUAGAGACUACACUAGUUAAAGAUAGUCUUAACAUUUCCUAAACUGAUUCACCAAUGAUAACAAUUGACCUGGUUCAAAUGUACUAAUCAGUAUUCUAAAGUUCAGUGAUAAUACAAAAACUGAACACAACCAAGGCAAAUAGCUCAGAUUUUUCAACAAUAUAUCCACAUUAGCCGAACUAAAAAGUAUAAAAGUUUGAUAAUCUUUUAUUUUAGUUGUUCAGAGAAGUAACAAAAAGCUGAGAACUUUAGCAAACACCAAGGCAGCUUAAUAUACCAGAGUAAUCAAAAGACAUAACUUCAUACAGUUGCAAUGAGAAACACAUAUGUCUGAGAGGCAUCAAUGGACUUGUUAGAGAACAAUAUAAGCUUUAGCAGACAAAACAACAACAAAAACCCCAUCAAAGUCAAACAAGAGCAGCUUCCAACUCCUUGGCUACCUGUCAGAUUCGGUUCUAAACCGUUUAACUCUUGAGCAACAUGCUCCAUGAUGAAAGGUCUGAACUGGGGACAUGGCAAGGAGCCUCCAAUAGAAGCACCACCCUUGGGUGGAGUUGCUGGUUGCAACCAGACUUGAUCUCCAGCAAAGCAUCUCAUGUCCACCGCAAAACGUUUGCGGUAUAUGAUCCUUAUCCAAUAGGGUCCACGGAGUACUACAGAGACAUCAAUGGGUAAGAGAGAGCUGGGAACGAUUCCAGGUCCGCUUCUCCCUGCAGCUCCAUGGAAACUUCCACCGAGUGGACUUGGAGCAGGAGAAGGAGAAGCAACAGCACUCCCUGAGGCAGACUGGCCAACAGCAUUUGGAGCUGCUAAAGUUGAAGGUUGAGUUUGUUGCGUCUGAUUUGAUUGUCUGGAAGUCGCUGUAGCAGGUACGACAGUCACGCCAGUGGCUGAACUAGCUCGGGCAGGGCGAGUAGCAGCAGCUAACGCAGUCAAAGGCCCAGCAGUAAGGCGAAUGCAAUCCAGAAGAGAUUCUACCUCUCCACCAUUUAU